GGAAUUUAGUUCAGUGGUAGAACAUCUGCCUAGCAUGCACAAGGCCUGGGUUCAAUCCCCAGCCCCA
Molecule: transfer RNA, 67 nt
Filed under: Marmota monax (woodchuck)
Lineage: Eukaryota; Metazoa; Chordata; Mammalia; Rodentia; Sciuridae
Description: tRNA.Ala
Rfam family: tRNA (bases 7-62)
About the family: Transfer RNA (tRNA) molecules are approximately 80 nucleotides in length. Their secondary structure includes four short double-helical elements and three loops (D, anti-codon, and T loops).
Source: RNAcentral